Molecule: ribosomal RNA, 357 nt
Filed under: uncultured soil bacterium
Lineage: Bacteria
Description: bacterial SSU rRNA
Rfam family: Bacterial small subunit ribosomal RNA
Source: RNAcentral
AGAGUGAACGCUGGCGGCAGGCCUAAUACAUGCAAGUCGAACGGCAGCACAGCAGAGCUUGCUCUGUGGGUGGCGAGUGGCGGACGGGUGAGGAAUACAUGGGAAUCUGCCCAGUCGUGGGGAUAACGUAGGGAAACUUACGCUAAUACCGCAUGCGCCCGUUCGGGGGAAAGCCGGGACCUUCGGGCCUGGCGCGAUUGGAUGAGCCCAUGUCGGAUUAGCUAGUUGGCGGGUAAAGCCCACCGAAGGCGACGAUCCGUAGCUGGUCUGAGAGGAUGAUCAGCCACACGUGGAACUGAGACCACGGUCCAGACCUCCGUAGGGAGCAGCAAGGUAGGAAUAUGGACAAGUGGGCAC